GAAACUGCCUGAUGGAGGGGGAUAACUACUGGAAACGGUAGCUAAUACCGCAUAACGUCGCAAGACCAAAGUGGGGGACCUUCGGGCCUCAUGCCAUCAGAUGUGCCCAGAUGGGAUUAGCUAGUAGGUGGGGUAACGGCUCACCUAGGCGACGAUCCCUAGCUGGUCUGAGAGGAUGACCAGCCACACUGGAACUGAGACACGGUCCAGACUCCUACGGGAGGCAGCAGUGGGGAAUAUUGCACAAUGGGCGCAAGCCUGAUGCAGCCAUGCCGCGUGUGUGAAGAAGGCCUUCGGGUUGUAAAGCACUUUCAGCGGGGAGGAAGGCGAUAAGGUUAAUAACCUUGUCGAUUGACGUUACCCGCAGAAGAAGCACCGGCUAACUCCGUGCCAGCAGCCGCGG
RNAcentral lists this ribosomal RNA (403 nucleotides) under Klebsiella pneumoniae. RNAcentral describes it as "bacterial SSU rRNA". It matches the Rfam family "Bacterial small subunit ribosomal RNA", at positions 122 to 520 of the family's 1533-position model. Lineage: Bacteria; Pseudomonadati; Pseudomonadota; Gammaproteobacteria; Enterobacterales; Enterobacteriaceae. The record is from RNAcentral.